GAUGAAGAACGCAGCGAAAUGCGAUAAGUAAUGUGAAUUGCAGAAUUCAGUGAAUCAUCGAAUCUUUGAACGCACCUUGCACUCCUUGGUAUUCCGAGGAGUACGCCUGUUCGAGUGUUAUGAAGCUCUCAAAACGCAAUUGGCUUAAAACCUGAUUGUUGUUUUGGAUUUGAACUUUGCCGUGUUAUAACGGCUGGUUUUAAAAGUAUUAGCUGGUACUAGAACGAAUUGGUUCUACUCAACGUGAUAAUUAUCUGAUCGUCGAGGACAUUCCUUUCACGAGGAAUGGCCAUAGUAAAUUCAAUGGACUGCUUCUAAUCUGGCUUUAAUUCUUUAUUGGAUUAACCACUUUUCAAAUCUGACCUCUAAUCAGGUGGGACUACCCGCUGAACUUAAGCAUAUCAAUAGCGGAGGA
This 415-nucleotide unclassified non-coding RNA is filed under the name soil metagenome. RNAcentral's name for it is "partial contains 5.8S ribosomal RNA, internal transcribed spacer 2, and large subunit ribosomal RNA". The stretch from base 1 to 120 matches the Rfam family "5.8S ribosomal RNA", at positions 35 to 154 of the family's 154-position model. The record is from RNAcentral.